This 301-nucleotide ribosomal RNA is filed under the name uncultured bacterium. Its description in RNAcentral is "partial 16S ribosomal RNA". It matches the Rfam family "Bacterial small subunit ribosomal RNA", at positions 509 to 807 of the family's 1533-position model. The record is from RNAcentral.
CAGUCGCCGCGGUAAUACGAAGGGUGCAAGCGUUACUCGGAAUUACUGGGCGUAAAGCGUGCGUAGGUGGUGGUUUAAGUCCGUUGUGAAAGCCCUGGGCUCAACCUGGGAAUUGCAGUGGAUACUGGGUCACUAGAGUGUGGUAGAGGAUAGUGGAAUUUCCGGUGUAGCAGUGAAAUGCGUAGAGAUCGGAAGGAACAUCUGUGGCGAAGGCGACUAUCUGGGCCAACACUGACACUGAGGCACGAAAGCGUGGGGAGCAAACAGGAUUAGAGACCCGUGUAGUCCCUGUCUCUUAUAC